Molecule: non-coding RNA, 4537 nt
Organism: Pelobates cultripes (western spadefoot toad)
Lineage: Eukaryota; Metazoa; Chordata; Amphibia; Anura; Pelobatidae
Source: the annotation of a GenBank genome assembly
GGGUACUUAAUGUUUAUAUUUACUAAUAAUAGGUUGAUUUAUAUAUACAAAAAAUAUUUUUAAAGUAAUAUAUUUAAACUAGGGAUCAGCACUUUUAAAAGUAGAUAAAUCUUUGAUUUGUAUUGACCCAAUUAUGUUGAACAGAAAAAAAAACAGUGUGGAUAGUUGGAAAAUCAAAAGGAAUUUCACGUUUUUGGCCAUUGUAAAAAAAAUUGGAAAUAUUCUCAACAUCACUAUGUUUCAAGUUUAGUCUUAAACUUGAAAUUCAUUUUGAAUUAUUUGAAUUGCCCAAAAUUCCAACUUUAGUCAAUAACUCUUUAAAUAUUUGUAAAAACAACCACAGAAGCCAAUUGAUUGUAUUUGAUUAUUCUAUCAUCAUACUGGUGUGGUUUCUGAAAAUAUGACAUCAAGCAUCCAGUGAAGACUCAUAACCAUCACACAGAGUAGUCUGUCAUCACCAAACAUGUGUUUGUUUGGGUCAUGCAUAAGAUGACAUUGUAGUCAGUAGAGAACAUUUUGCCAAUAUUUACAUUUGAUGGCAUGAGAAUGAAAAUGGCAGAAGAUCUAAUUCUGCAUUAUCGAUGUUGCUGAGAUGGGGACAGCCACACCGGGGGCCAGACUCCUGGCUACCAUCAUUACGCAGUGUGUUGUAAAAUUCUGGGCAACCUGACUACACGAGCAAGCAAUGAAGGCUGGUUCACAGGUGCAGGUGGGGCAGCUCCUCACAGUUUUUGUCUCAAUAACAACAAAAAUAAAAUCUAUUGGCAUGUCAAAACUAAUAAGUGUGUUUUAGAAUGAAAACUAUUUUAUCUGUCAUGAUCCGUCAGUCACUCCACUUUACUGGUGGUGGAGAUGUAGCUGAAAGAUUGAACAGCUAAUUAUGUCAAGAUUUGGGGGUAUUGUCAAUUAUUGGUAUUGAGAUCCUGGACACCUAAAGAGUCCUGUCUUCUAGGGUAGACAUUCGGUAACAAUGUAUAUAUCAGAGGGUUGUGUAAGAGCUCUUUGAAGUCAUUGCUGUUUCCUGUAUCUGUAGGUUUAUGUUACAGAGCAUAAAAUAAAUGAUGGUACAGGCACUCAAGAUAAAUACAGUUAGAAGAUUUGUUGGUGCAGAUAAAAAGCAACAUUUCGGCAUACAACAUGGCCUUAGUCAUGCUUGACAAAGGCUCUGUUGUGGGCCAAAAUGUUGUUUUUUAUCUGCUACAAUAAAUCUGCUCACCUUGCGUGCCUGGACCAUCAUUUCUUUUCUGCAAAUUACAUUUUGAGGAUUGGCCAACCUCAGGCCAGGAUGCACCCUGGGAUCCAGGAUAGUGCAGUAUCCCAUACAGUAAUCACAUUUAUGAACUAUAUGUUACAGAGCAUAACCUCCCAUUGGGUCAAAGGUUGAGUACAAGUGGUUAAACUGGAAGAGAUUUAAAUAAAUCAGUGGACAGAAUUUUGAAGGUAGAGCUCAAUGCCCCACCAUCUUAAAAUUAGUAACAGAAAGCUGAAAAGGUUAUGUUGCUUAGAAUUCACCUUUAAAAGAAAAAGAACCAUGUUGGGAUUGGCAAUUACCGAACUCAGUUGUAUAUUUUAUCUUGGCUAUUCAUAAUUAUUACAGUGGGGUUUUCUAUAGCAGUAAAGGAGAAAAAUAAAUCUCCUCCUCAUAACUACCCUGAAACUAAAUAACUUGGUGGCAAGUCUAAUUAUCUAUAAUUAUAAAAUCUUGAAGCCGGUUCUGCUAAUAAGUCAUAAUGAUGGACAAUUAUCUGGUCUAUUACUCACAUAGAUUCCAUUAAUGCCUUGAGGGUGUGAGCGAGUAACUAGGAUUUAAUAUAUAUCUAUUAUAUCCACUAUAUGCGGAGCAGAGAAUAUAGCAGCACUCAGUUAAUAAAAAAAGAUAUUGAAAAUGUAUUUAUGUGUAUCACAUUUGAUGAACAUCUUUUAUGAGAAAAAAAUAGUAUAUGAUUUCAAUCCUGUAUUGCUGUUUACUGAUUAUUUAUUAUGUAUAUCAUAUCAUAUUUGUUCUCCCCCUUUUCUAGUUACAAUAUCUAUAUUUUAAGCAUCUCUACAUCUCUGGCCAUUUAUUACUGCUUUUUAUUUAUGUAUUCAAAUUAAAAAUGCUUCUUUCUCCAUCUCAUGAUUUCAUUCCUGUUUCUGGCCUAUAUUUAUAAUAAAUGGCAUACCAAUCUAGAGAGAGGUCUUUAGGAAUAGAUCGAGAUCCAGACUUUUUUUCGGAGGUGUCAAUGGAACUGGAACUGCCAGCGGAACUUUAUUUCUUUGCCUUAUUGUAUGAUGAUGCCCAGGACGAACUGGUGAUUUGGGAACAAACUUCAGAAGACUGAUGGAACUAUAUUUUGUCCUAAAAACUGUGGCCACAGCAGGCUAUCAAGAUCUUCUUGUUGUGAUCUUUGUAGAUAUACCAUGGUCUCACUCUAAUAUUGAUCAGCAGCAAUGUACAUGUGUGCGUGUCUCUGUAUCUAUGUAUAUUUAUAUAUUUGUGUUUAAAAUGCACAAUGUACUGAAUACUAUAUGGACCUUUUGUGUUUGCUUUAUUUUGUAUGUAUUGAUAUGCUGGGGAACCAUUUUCUUUUACAAUAUGUAGAUGUGGGGCUGAUUUUAAGAUAUCCGAAUGUGUGACCACAAGCCCUUUAGAAUUAGGGGUAGAUCUUUCCACUGUUAAGUAAUUUCAAUCUGUACAUUUUCAUACAACUCUUAUACGAACUAGAGUGAAACAUUGUAAUAUUUUCAUCAACUUUCUAUAAAUUUUAUUGUAGGGAUUCUUUAAAACAACAAAUAAAAGAAAACAAAGCUGGGGAGAAUAUAAAUUCUGUUCUGCAAAUCUUGCACGGAACUUUAUUGCUCAAGUAAAGAAAUGUAUACACAUUGAUAUAUAUUAGGAAAUUUACAAAAACACUACACAAAACUCGUUAUCAGAUAUAGUCACAAAAUAUAUCCACAUAUAGCCCUUACCUUAUUUUGUAGCAAAUAUACUAUUACUAUUAUAUUGGAAUAUUUUCUACAUUCAAUUCCUAAUGGUAGUCUACUGCAACUCACAUAUCUUUCCGACACAAAUAGUAAAGUAGUUUUGGCCCAGAUAUUGUGUCCUAUUAAGAAAGAAGGGAUAACAACUGUUAAGGGAGCAAAAAAAAAAAAAAAGAAUUUGUAAAGCAACAAACAUUCACUUAUUUCUAUAAAACAAAAUGUACAUAUGUUUUAGACUUUAGAUACGCAUAUAUACAUCAGCACAGACUGAUAUAUAGCUAAACUUUCACAGAAUUUUGUGCGUAUUCCUUGUCUUUACCAAUCACUGUUUAUCAAAAUGUAAUUCUAGACUUACACCCUUCACAUCCUCCACAAAAUUUGAUUACAUAUAUUGAAGGUAGAGAUAGUCAUAGCGUUCCGCAUAAUUUGCAGCAUUUAUAAAAAAUAAAAAUAAACACAAUUUGAUUAUAUUGCCAUACUCCUGGUUAUGCAGUGAAAUGAGUGUAGUCAAUAGAACAUAUCUUAAAAUAAAAUUUAAAAAAACUUUUUUUAUUAUGCUAAAUGUUACACUGCAUUUCAGAGAAUAGGAUUGUCUAUUAAUCACCAAGUAAAUUAGGAACUGUUGAUCCCUCUAAAUCCAGGGACUGCCAUUUAGGAUCUGUUACAUAAAUACAAAGAAGCCAGUGGACUUUUGGAUGGAUCUGUUUGGAUCAAACAAUAAUCACAAUUCAAGCAUUCAUUCCUAAUAUCUUUAUAUCUUAAUACUACUGAAACAUGUGCCCCAUAUAUUGAAAUUAGAAGAAUGACAUUCCCAACACCAGAAGUAAUAACACGCAUUUUUGCAAUGUAAGUCUGGUGUUGAAAUUCUUAACUGUAUAGUACGUAGGUUAGUAAAUUUUGGUUCUGGCUCAAAGUUCCAAAAAGAUUUUUAUGGGGAGAACAAGGUAAUACCUACCAGAUUUCUUACACGAACUGUAGCAUUUAAGAAGUCACCCUUUUAAAUAGUACCAUUGUGGAGCAUAAUGGGAGGAGAUAUGGCAAGUGAUCUCUGGUCAGAGAGACAAGAGCAAGUGAUGAGAAAAAAGGACAAAAGGUAACGUACAUAUUCUGUACAUGCAUAUGUGUGCAUAUACAUAUAUAUUUAUACAUGGUACUGAGCUAGUAAAUUUCAUUACUUAAACAAACAAAAAGAGCCUUGCCCAAAAGCCACUUUUUUGUUUUCCACUUAAACAUUGUCUGGAUCCCCCACAUUGACAUUCCCUUAUUUGUGUAUUUUUCACUCUGCUUUUAUCACCUCCCCGGGGAAGCUGGAAGUAAUUUGUGAUAAUAUAAAUAUCUGUGUUACAUCUUUGCCUUAACCCUAUUCCUGGGUCUGGUGCUUCUGUAGCACAUUUUUUUUAACUCUUGCAAGCAUAUCUGGGGCGUGUGUUGGUUGUUCUUGUCAUCCGCAUUGUGAGAUUUUAUUUAUUAACUUCAGUGGACUUCAAUCCAUUUUUUAUAAAACUGAUUCGUUGACGAUUUAUUGUGUGUACAUAAAAACCGCAUUCAAGCAUACAAGCAGCCUGUUGUCUUCGUU